UCAGGAGGCUCUGGAGGAAGGAGGGCAGAGGGCCAGGGGAUCAGUGGCACAGCCUAGGUAGACAGUUGGGACUAUUACCUAAUGUUCCUGUCACUGUUGAGUAGGAAGCGACCAAGAAUGUUGACAGCUAGAACCUAUGAGAGGCAGAAGUUGGGGUCAGUCGGAAAGGAGCAACCUGCUCAGCCAUUGAGGACUGGGAACACAUUGGCGCAAGAUGAUGGGGCUAGGAGGGAGAAACCAGCAAGCAGGACCUGUGUGGGUGAGGUGGUGGGCGGGGCCGUAGUGGGAGAGGCAUAAGGGGUGAUACCCGUAGGCCAGCUGCAGAGCGGAUAUCCAUGAUGGGUCUCACUCUGUCGCCCAAAGCUCACUGCAGCCUUGACCUCCCAGGCUCUGAUGAUCCUCCUGCCUCAGCCUCCUGAGUGGCUGGGACUACAGGCACAUGCCAACAAGCCCAGGUCCUGGGAUGACCCGAGCAAUCCUGUGCCUGCUACUCUGCUGCCCAGGACACUGAGAGAACCAGUGUUCUCUGGGAGGAAACCACUGGUCAUGGUCUUACUGCUAUGCCCUCUCUGAUCCAGGGAUACAGCAGUGAAAGGUCACCCCACCUGCAGGAAGGGGUCGCUGACUCCAGAUAUGCUGUGUUCUGUGGAGUAUCCCAUUGUCACCAGAGUCCGGAGGAUGUGUACCAGCUGGGGUACCACCUGGAGGGAGGGCACAACUUUGGGCAUUCGUUCUAAUCCUCUCCAGCUAAAGCCCCAUUCCUUCCCCACUGACCCUGUCUUCCAGGCCCAGGGCCUGCCCCUUCACCAGCCCACCUUUCGGAAGUGCCUGAGGGCUGCAGGGCUUCGUUCGCAGAGCUCCGUGAUCAGCGUGAUGGUGCCCAGCAGGAUGCCUGGGGUCAGCGUCGGGGAAGUGAAUGGUGGGGGCCAGGGGCAAGAGAGUCUAUUGCGUGUGUGCCUGUGUGUGUGCACUACCCUUCUCCUGUGAGCUGGGGUUCCCAUCCGAUUUUCAAUUCUUCUGUCCAUAGACCUGAAGCAAAGGAUGGGGGGCCCCACAGCCUUACCAUGGUGACGCUCAUGAAGCAGUUGGGCACAGGGUGGGAGGAAGACACUGGAGAGUUCAGGGACCUUCCGGAUCAUGUGCACUGCAGUCAGAAUAGCCUGCAGAGGUCAGGGGCCUCAGACAGGGGUCAGAGGAGAUGGACCCCUGCAUCUACUACUAUAUAGCACGCAGCAGGCAGUGUGCAGGAGCACGUGCCAGGAGUCCCGCCAUCUCACCUUCUUGCGCACGUAGGGACUGGGCUGCAGGAGCAGUUUCUCCACCUCUGGGGCCAGGUCUCGGCACAUCUCAGCAGAGCCCAUGGUGCUCAAAGUGCACAAGGCCAGGCCUUGUACUGGCUGAAUCCCCUGGCUCAGGUCACUGCAGGGUUUGGGAGGACGGUCAGUCAAACCUCUGAGAAAAUCAGUCCUUUUCAAUACCCACAACAGGCAGUCCCCUGGGAUUUCCAAGGUCCCUACUCUCCCAUCUCCCUGAUUCCAAGUGAUUGCCAGAACCCUCUCACUUCUUGAUGCUGUUGGUAAUGAGCAGGUGGGCAUCGUGCCUCUCAUCCAAUAGAAGCAUGGCCCCCAGGUAGCCCACCCUCUUGUCUGUGAAUCUGGAGGAGGCGAUCAGUUUCAGGCACUCCAUCUAUAGUGAAGGGGGCAGACCAGGAAGAGGCAGGGGUGAAACCAUAGACACUCACAUCCCUGUUCCAUCUUCCUCUUUAAAACCAGAUUAACCUGUGGGGCAUCAUAUCUCAUCACUCUCCCUUCAACAAGAGGAGAAGCUUAGGAAAUUCAGGCGUUAGUGGGUAGGAGGAACUAGGAGUUGAGGAGGAUGGGAGCGGAGAGGAGGAGAUGCCUGCCCUAAAGGAGGCUGGCCAGAGAAUGAAGGGUUCAGGCCAGCUGAUGACCAGUAGGGGUAGCAAUGGGGAAAGAGGUUUGCAGUGCAGGCUGUGAAGACUCUGAAAUUGUAGAAUUUAAAAAACCAGGGCAUAAACAGGUGAGAGAGUCUGGGACUCUGCCCCACUAGCCUUCAUCAAGCUCAGGAGGGAGGUAUUCCUGGCCAGUACCUGUCCAAAGUGGGCGGGGUAGCCCAACAUGUGGACGUAGAGCAGUUUGGCCAGCUGCCGGUGCCUGUGCACUGGGUCCCCGUCGCGGAAGGAGGCCCGGAUGUGGGCACACUCCUUUUGGAUCACCUCCCGCUCCUGGGCCUGAGUCUUGGCCCCGCGAAUCUCUUCGAUGAGGUCCUGAAGCUUCAGCGAAGGCACCACCAUCCUGACUGGCAGAGUCCGGGAGUGGAGAAACACUCUCUGGUCGGGCGUGCCUGGGCUUUCGGCCCAGGCCCGUCCUGUGUCAAGACCCUAAGAGCCCGGGUCCCACAGGCAGCGGCAGCGGCAGCGACAGCCUGCCUACCCCAGGACUCCAGCCUCACCUGGCUUCUGCCUCAACUCCGCUCCUCUGCCCCCCAGCGCUUCCUGGCUUUAGCGGAGAGACAGCAUGAUAGGCCUGGAGUUCUUCAAGAGGCCUCCUCGCACAUCCUUACCACCCGGAGAGCCUCAGUUUGGAUUUGAAGCCAUCGCACCCCAAAGGAGAUGACAAUCCCCC
RNAcentral lists this long non-coding RNA (2645 nucleotides) under Homo sapiens (human). Its description in RNAcentral is "HSALNT0375713". The record is from RNAcentral. Lineage: Eukaryota; Metazoa; Chordata; Mammalia; Primates; Hominidae.